UGUUCAUCGUUCCCGUUCCCGUUCCCCGAAUCUCUUCCUUCCCUAAACCUCUCUCCGCUCUCCGUGUUCCCAAAGAAAAUAUCAACAGUUAGCAUAGGUGCUAUUAUUGACCUCAUGGAUUUCAGAGUAAUUUCAGAGUAACUGAUUUGGGAUCUCUUUUGUUGUUUCUCACCAACAUAAAAAGCAGAAGACGAUCUCCAUAGGUGACCCUUUCUAAAGCGAGGGACUAAGUCAUUCUGAUUAUUUUAUUCUGCUAUUUUUUCUUCUUUGGGUAUCAAAUACCUUGGAACUUGAAGGUCUUAUAUGAUGAGUGAGUGAAUCCAAUACACCUGCUGGUGUAACUUCGACGGAAAUUGGUACCAACAACAACCGAAAGAAUGGGAAAGGGUUAUGAGCAAACUUGACAGGUUCACAAAUGGCUGCAAUUUGCAGGCUGUCCUGGAAGCCAUCAGCGUUCGCGCUUUCUGUUUAGGUAUAUCACCUCUACCCCUCUAAUUGGAGACAUAAACCAAGAAAUAAAAAUAAAAUAAGGCUCCUAGAUGAGUAUAAAAUAAUGGUCCAUUGUAAAUAGUAGUUAAAUAAAAAAUCACUGAUUAAUAGUCAAUAGUUUAUCUUUGCAUUUUUCAUUGCAUCAGGUAGAAAAUCUAAUGGGUGUGAAGAGAGGGGUAUUCUCCUUGGCUAGAACUAGAACUUACAAGAUACUCGAUUAGUGUUACUUUUGCACUACAUAAAAGCCAACCAUUUCGCUUUAAGAUAUUGCAGCUGCAGGGGUCUAGCAUUAAACACUUACAAUUUGUUUGAUCAGGAAAAAAGGAUUUUAUUCUUGCGCAAAUGCAUAAAGGAGUACCUAAAAAUGUUAUUUGUACAUGUGAUGCACUCCUCUACGAGAGUGACAUCAAUUGUGUUGACAGGUUCAAUGUCUCUGAUGCCAAGUUUGAAUCCAGUCUGCAAACAAUGAACAACGGUUAGAUCAAGUGGGAUACCUUGGUUACAAUAUACUAAUUCUAUUCCAAGCCAGGCGUUACUCUGAGUAGUUCAGGUAUAGUUAUCCGAGCAGUUCAGGUACUUACAAUAGACGUCUUAGCUGAACUACUCUGCUUUUGGGAACCUAAACAACUGCUAUAUUCAAUUACAGGCAACUAUAUUGAGGACUUGCGUAUAUUUAUACUGCUAUAUUUAAAACUUUUCUUUUUUUCGCCAAAAUAAACUGAAAGAGGAUAUUGGCAUUUACGAUUUUGAUAAAGAGAUCAUUUGAACAUGAAUAUGGAUACUUCCUUCCCAUAUGAUUGUAGAUACUUUGUGAUUAUGAAAUUUUGUUACUCUCCUGCAACAUAAGUAUGGAUACUUUAACUUGACAUUGGCAUCUAUAAUUUUGAUGUUUUCACCAUUAGUUCAUACAUCCGGUUGAGGAUUAACACGAAAAAUAAUUGGAGAUCACAGAACCAGUAGUGAAGAAGAACUCUUCCUUGAAAACAAAGAGAAAAAAAAUGAAAUUUCUCCUUGAAUUUGUAAUGUGUUCCCCUGUUUUUACGCUGAUUUCAAGUUCGAAAGUAUGAAUUUUGGAUUGUGUUGAUUUCAUGUCUUCUCCAUUCUUUUGUUGGGAAAAAAUGAACUGUAUUAAGCAUACAACGGUUGUGGAAAUGGCUUGAGAGAACUAGAUUAUGUGGUUGCACUCUCCCUUCUUUUCUGUUCAUCAAAUCUGUCUUACGGCGCCUGGCAAGUCGGGUAUCUAUGGGAAACAAUACAGCGCGAAGAAGCCAGCCAUAUUCUAUGCCUAUCUUGCCGUUUGGCCUCUUCCUUUACUGUUCUACUAACAAUGACCAAGAUUCAUAAGUAUCCGCAUUUACAGGACCGAUACUAUGGACCAUCUAUGGGAAACAAUACAGCGCGAAGAAGCCAGCCAUAUUCUAUGCCUAUCUUGCCGUUUGGCCUCUUCCUUUACUGUUCUACUAACAAUGACCAAGAUUCAUAAGUAUCCGCAUUUACAGGACCGAUACUAUGGACCAUCUUUGGGGUAAAGCUCAGUUUAUUUGACAGAAGUCCUUCCGGGGUGUCAAAAUCCUGCAACCUUGCUAGCAUCAAGGGGGUGAACACGAAUGCCGACGAUUAUGGUAUUCAGUCGGUAAAAAAUAAUUAGCAUGCCACAUAUUUUAAGUUCUUCUAUAAUAGUUUAACACCUCAUCUGCAGCUGCAAUUUGCUUGGUUGGCAAACCAUUUAAUGUUUCUCCAAAUAGCACAUAGGCAGGAGAACUUAAAUUGGAAUCUAAUUGUUUUACACUUUUACUUCACGUGUUGUGCUCUGGAGUUAUAGAAUGGCUGAAUAAAACAAUAUCAGAAGAGGCAUCGUGGCCCACAAGGAUAUGGUGCUCGAUGUGUAUUUGCGUGAAAAUAGAAAUGAGUUGGAAUCCUUGGCUGAAAAAAUAAGUUUACAGGCACAACAACAUUGCAAUGUAUUGUUGGUGGUGUUUGGUAUCUUCUGUGAAUUCACACUGCCAUAGGGUACUUGCAUGUUUUUGCAUGUCGAAAUUAAUUCUUUUCGGUUAUGUCAGGAUAUUGCCACUGCUAAUCAUAUAACCUUUACGCUCAUGUUAUUCAGUCAGAGAGGAGUGGUGUACCAAUUACUCAUGUUAUUUGAUUCUAUGUUCUCAUAUAUUCAUCCUUGCAUUUUAUUGAAUUUGCACCUCAGCUGUCAGACAAGUCCUUCGAGCAAGGUCAGUUUUUCCACCUCUAUUGUUAUUUACACGAACUUUCUUUACUCUUUGCAUAGCUUUUAUUAGCCUUUUCUGAAUGAUAGUUGUGGUUUUCUUUAACUGUUGAAUGUAAAAGUGCGCAAAUGAGGAAAUUCUAUUGGUAAAUGGUAAUGUGCGUCUAAAUACUUCGUUGAUGUUAACACCAUGGAGAUCUGGUGCCCAGAAGAAAUCCUUUUUUGUUUGAUUUUGUUAUUGUUUUCCCUCAUUUUAUUUGUAUCAAUAUUCAAAAUAAUGAGGAGAUGAUUAGGUAAAUUCCUUAUGUGUUUGGUCGUCAAACUAAUGGCACAAUAGUAUUAGCUCUAGGAACGCCAGUAUCUAUCAUGAUAUGAACUUUCGAAUGUGUACGACAAACCCAUGAAGAAUCUUACAGGGCCUUUCAUAACGAGCAAAUCGGUUCAUGUUUUAGCAAAUGUUUGUGUCACACUUCUUCGACUUGAACCAAAAUUAGCCAACCGAAUUGCAAACGUAGUUGAUAUAAUAGUAUGUUAAAAAGAAAUAUAUGUAUCACAUAUAGCAGUUUGAUGAUACUCACCAACUGCCAAAGGAUAUUGAAUAACUGAUUUGGGUCUCUUUGCUGGAGCAUCAAGUUUCUUCUCAUGGAAUUUCAUAUUUGAGCUCAACAAAUUGGCCUUAAUUUUCUCCAUUUAUCGUAACCAAUGUGCUCAAUGGUUGAAGCAGGUGAAUCAGACAGCGGAGCCCCUGCAUCAACGUAUCUGGAUCAAAUGAUGGUUUUCAACCAAGGACUAAUCCGUGGAAGGCUUGGUAACAUAUCUGCAUCAACGUAUCUGGAUCAGAUGAUGGUUUUCAACCAAGGACUAAUCCGUGGAAGGCUUGGUAACAUAUGUCUUGCAUUUGCUUCGUUGUUGACUUUUUCUUACCAAAAUUAUACUCUCAAUAGCCAAGGUAUGCCAAAUUGCCUUUUACAAGUGUGGUUGUCGGGUAUAGUUAACUCCCCAUAGAUGAUUUUUUCUUUGCAUCUUUUAGAUAUAGGGAACCUGUUUCCUUAUAAAUUUAUUUUUGUAUCAAAUAUGUUCAACUUCCAAGACCAUCCAUAAAGCCACGUCAUUUUAUUCAUUGUAAUGGAUCAAAAUUGCUCGAUUGGUAUGAACUGUUGAUUGUGAACUUAAUUUUCCUAAAUGAAAUUGCCAAGUAUCGAUAAGUUUAUUGUGAUGCGAAGACUGAUUUUUUGAUGUUGAAUAUUAAAGUCAUAAUGAAUUUUUGUUAUGUGAAAAUUCUACAAUAUAGUGACCCAAGAUGAUGUAUGAUUAUAAAUCUCAUCUCUUUAUCGGAGCUCAUUCAGUUUCCAUGUAUUGCCACUUGCCAUCUUAGCUCAGCUGGAAGAGCACGUGGUUUUGAACCAUGUAGUUGUGGAUUCGAUUCCCACAGAUGGCGGAGGGACCCUGUGGUUGUACGCAUAUUUUGGUGCAACUAAUCUAACGUGGUUCUUUUUGCAGUACCAAAUCUUAUUACUUAUCGCACUUAUAUUGAAGUAGACUUCACUGGAGAUUAACAGGUCUCUAGGUAGCCAACUGAGGUAGUUCACUGUCUCUGCAGAUCAAUUAUGGUAUUUUUAUUCCUUUUACCAAGACACUUAUACUUCUUAUUUAUCAAGGUUCACGGGUGCUUCAUUACACGUCUAAGGUUCGAAUUGAGGCAUCUUGGAUUGUUUUCAUAGGUACUCAAAUGUUUUCGUAGGUACUCAAAUGUUUUUGUUUUUAAUCCUUUAGAGGUAAAAAUUUCUAUGUUGGGUUCUCAAAGACCGUGGGCAUGACUGCCCAUUAGGAACCUAUUAUCAGCAGAAAUUCUGCAAACUCUAUGCAUUAAGACUGAAUAUUACUCCCUCCGUUUCUGAAAAAGAGAUUCUUUCACUUUUUUAUUUUAGCCUAAAAAUAGGCCAAAUUGAAAAAGUGAAAGUAUCUCUUUUCCAAAAACAGAGAGAGUACUUUUUUGCAAGGUUUUCAAGGUAUUACCGAGUGUAAGCUUUUUAAACUGUUUGCGCAAUAAGUAAAUGAUUAACCUAACCUGGAAUUAAGACUCAUGCAUGGACAUAGUAUGCUAUGGUGGUCAUUGAUAGUAAUUGUUCAUAACUUUUUCAGAUUGAAAAUUUUGUUAUGUGUAUAUUAUGCAUAAACUUUUGAUACAUAAUUCAUAAAACUCCAGUUAGGAGAACUUUACUCGCAGGUACUAUCUGUUUUUUUAGCCAAGUCUACAUGUUUCUAGCCUAUGCUUCUUUGUGGUAUUUGGUUGUUUGUUGACAAGAGCAUUUAGCUAAUGGUAAUUGUUGUCUCCGUUGUAUAUAUAUUUCAUAUGUACAAUAUUGCACAUAGGACAGUAUCUACGUUCAAAAUCGACGCAGUAGUCUCUUGGUUGGUAAUUUCCAAAAAAAAAUCAAAAAUCUAGCCUAACUUAAUACUAACAAUUCUCGUGAUUCCAAUUCAAGGAAGCAACAUACUUCAAUGUUUAAAUUGUGAAUUGUUGUUCCUCAUAUAUUAUACCAGAUCAGUAUUGCUGAGAAAUCUUCUUCCAUGUCUUAACUUGAUCAGCGAGACUAGCCAUAUUUACAUCUUUGUUUUUGCUGGACUAUGAAUCAUAAAAAACGAACAGGGAGUUUCGUAGAAAACAAUACUUCCUUGAUGUUUUUAGGUAUGCUUAAGAAGUAACCCGACCAACUAUAGAUAUAAUUGCUCUUUGUUACUAUACAGUUAUGCUUAGUCUUGCAUUCUAUAUACUACCAUUCUGAAUUUGGUGGCAGACAAACUGUUUACUUCCUUAUUGUCCCGAAGUUUGUGUUUGUAUUCACAUUUUUUGUGAUAUUUGAGGUUUAUUCACAGCUUUAACCGACGUUGUUUUAAAGCCAGAGUAGCGAUCACGAAGAGGCAACUGCCACUAUCAUGGUUUACAUGGAAUAUAUGAUUUACAACUUUGAUCUUAAGAACCUAAAAGAAUGAGAAAAAGAGUUUUCUAACACAUCGAUUGUUCCUUCCAUAUUUGUUAAUGGACUGUGAAAUUGGGCUAAAUGAUGGAGAUGAAGCUUUUUUGUCAAUUUUCUAGAGCUUUGAUACAACAGUGGAAUAACACGAUAGUUUCAGUUGGUGGGGUAAUUUGAUUAAUUUUGGAGAGUUAUUAAUGAUUAUGGAUGUGGUAAAUCUGAAACUGCAUGGUGUGAAGGUGGUGCAACCUCUAGAUUAACAUUAUGAGAACAAAAACUCUAAUUUUGUGGGGCUCAUUUGAUUGUCAGAAAACAUUGGAGCUAGCUGGAAUUUCCUAAGCUUUAGAAAGGGUUAAAAGUUUACAUCAAACUCGAGAAAUACUUUUGUACCAGUAUUAAUGGCAAGCUGAUUUUCUUCUUCAUCCUAUCUUGCAGCUAAAGAUGGAAAAUCUUCUUACUUACUGAAAGGAGAGGAACAAGAAAGUAAUGAGUUGAUAGUAAAUCAAGUGACCUGGGUUCGUACCAAGACAGUAAAAGGUACCAAAACCCCUCAUCCUUUAAAAGGUACCAUAACUUUUAUUUUUCUAUAUUUUUUUUGUCAGUGUUUCGGGUCUUGGUGAUGGUAGUGGUAGUGGUGGAUAUGAAGGGAACAAUUGUUAUUCUUCAUCAAGUUAAAGAGAAAAAGUUAGGAUGGUUCACCAAAUAAGUUCGAUUCAGAUAAAAUUAAACCCAUUUUGAGAACAAAGUUUAUGUUGAAUCUCCUUUUGUGGCAUCAAUGAAAGAAAAUGAAGUUGAAGAAUAUGUCUUAAGAGACUACAGUCAGAAGCAAAGAUGUUACUAAGAGAGAAGCUAAAUCAUAUUGCAGUUCAUGUAUAUAAAUACAUUUGUAAAAAUUGAUCUUUAUCCUGUCUUAUGUAGGCGCGGCUUGCCUAUUAGUAAGCGGAUGAUAACACAACCAAUGUAGGUUGUGGAAGCUCACUAAUGUGCUCUUUCUUUUGUGCAGGACCCAAGUCAUACAACAUCGAUUGGUUUAAUUUAAGACUGGAUGCUCUAAUGGUUAUUAGGUCAAACCAAGUUUCUCGAGCUGAACUGAAUAUCAUUUAUAUACUAUAUCAUGCUGAUUAAGUAAAAUAAAUAGUCCUCUAUGGUGAACUGAGCAUCUUAGAAUCGAUUCAACUAUAAGUAGACGUGCAACACUGUCCUCCUUCUCUGUUUUCUAAUUAUUUAUUCUAUUGAUUUCAUUACAGAAAGGUUGUUGAGAAUCAAAUCGGAAAAAAGAUGGUUAUUGAUGACUGCAAUGCUAACAACCUGUUUAUGUAUUUGGAUGCAAAGAUUCAGUUUUGCAAAUCCAAGGUUUGUGUUGCUUUAAAACCUUUAUAUUACUUCCCUUAUAGGCUAGAAUAUAUAUUUAGUAAGGUUUUGACAGUCAUAAUAUGCAACACAUCUUUACUGAAUGGCUUGACAGAGUCCUUUUUGUUAACCGAGUUUUGACAGUCAUAAUAUGCAACACAUCUUUACUGAAUGGCUUGACAGAGUCCUUUUCGUUAACCGAGUUUUAGAUUCCAAUAACAAAGAGUCUACAAACGAAAUUCAUGAAGCGCAUUGAGCUUUGAACUAAAGUUGUCUAUGCAUACAAAUCUGAACUUGAUUUUCCGUACCUGGCUUAUCCAUGGACUCGAAUAAGUUUCCAGGUGACAAAAUUUGGUUCCAAGUACAAGUACUUUCCUCUAAGGUUACGAUGUAUUAAAAUGCGUAACUGCUUUUCUAUCCCUAACAUUUGUUUCGAUAACUCUAUUUGUUUCGAUGUGGUACUCUUUGAUUGGAA
Molecule: long non-coding RNA, 7504 nt
Organism: Papaver somniferum (opium poppy)
Lineage: Eukaryota; Viridiplantae; Streptophyta; Magnoliopsida; Ranunculales; Papaveraceae
Exons: 6
Source: RefSeq, a predicted model, not a curated record